RNAcentral lists this ribosomal RNA (305 nucleotides) under uncultured bacterium. Its description in RNAcentral is "bacterial SSU rRNA". It matches the Rfam family "Bacterial small subunit ribosomal RNA", at positions 337 to 639 of the family's 1533-position model. The record is from RNAcentral.
UCCUACGGGGGGCAGCAGUGAGGAAUAUUGGUCAAUGGGCGCAAGCCUGAACCAGCCAAGUCGCGUGAGGGAAGACGGCCCUACGGGUUGUAAACCUCUUUUGCCGGGGAGCAAGCCUGAGCACGUGUGCCCAGGCGGAGAGUACCCGGAGAAAAAGCAUCGGCUAACUCCGUGCCAGCAGCCGCGGUAAUACGGAGGAUGCGAGCGUUAUCCGGAUUUAUUGGGUUUAAAGGGUGCGCAGGCGGGAGAUCAAGUCAGCGGUAAAAUGUCGGGGCUCAACCCCGGCCGGCCGUUGAAACUGGGUU